UAGUCCACGCCGUAAACGAUGGAUACUAGCUGUCCGCUGCCUUGAGCAGUGGGCGGCCAAGCGAAAGUGAUAAGUAUCCCACCUGGGGAGUACGUUCGCAAGAAUGAAACUCAAAGGAAUUGACGGGGGCCCGCACAAGCGGUGGAGCAUGUGGUUUAAUUCGAUGAUACGCGAGGAACCUUACCAGGGCUUAAAUGCAGAGCGACCGUUCUGGAAACAGAACUUUCUUCGGACGGUUUGCAAGGUGCUGCAUGGUUGUCGUCAGCUCGUGCCGUGAGGUGUCGGGUUAAGUCCCAUAACGAGCGCAACCCCUAUUCUUAGUUGCCAGCGAGUAAUGUCGGGGACUCUAGGAAAACUGCCAGUGUAAGCUGUGAGGAAGGUGGGGAUGACGUCAAAUCAUCACGGCCCUUACGUCCUGGGCUACACACGUGCUACAAUGGUUGGUACAGAGGGCAGCUACCCAGUGAUGGGAUGCGAAUCUCUAAAGCCAGCCCUAGUUCGGAUUG
This 506-nucleotide ribosomal RNA is filed under the name uncultured bacterium. Its description in RNAcentral is "bacterial SSU rRNA". It matches the Rfam family "Bacterial small subunit ribosomal RNA", at positions 791 to 1300 of the family's 1533-position model. The record is from RNAcentral.